Molecule: long non-coding RNA, 1077 nt
Organism: Alexandromys fortis (reed vole)
Lineage: Eukaryota; Metazoa; Chordata; Mammalia; Rodentia; Cricetidae
Exons: 2
Source: RefSeq, a predicted model, not a curated record
UCUCCAGAAGCGUGCUGCAACGCAGGUCGCCGCCAAACAAGAACCUGGACGCUAGCCAGAGGCUCGUCUGAGGCCGGCCGGCCGGGCGGGGCUGGGAGAGUUAACCCAGGGCGGAGGAAGAAGCUCCGGCUCCCCAUUCUCCUCCUAGUGCCUUCAACACUUGGGGGAGGGGGAGGCAGGAAAUGCAAGGGCGGCGGAGGCUAGGACCCCCGCGCCUCCAAGUUGGGAGGCGCGGCGUUGCACCCCAGUAAACCUGCGACCUGGCGUGAUCCCCGACAGCGUCCCGGCCAGCUUGCUUUCCAGAAGAGUCACCCAAAGGAGAUGGCGAGAAGCAGAGUCCCUCAGGAUCCGUCCAGUCCCGUCAGAUGAGCGCUCUCUACGAAGAGGUGCGCCGCGCAACGCUGCAUGCGCGGCUGGGAAGCUGGAGUCCGACGAGUGCAAGCUCACUCCAGGGGAAAGUCCCGGACACAACUAAGUCGAGUUCUGAGGGAUGGCUCCCGGAAGCUGUUGACACCAGCUAGCGAGCGCUAAGUUUCGCUGCAGGACCAGGCGAUGCAGCUGUGGCAUCCGGGGCUCUGAAGAAGGCUACACCGACAAGCACGUAGGGAAAUAUAGAAUCCGCCCCUGAGAAGCACAUUGAAGAGAAUACACCGUGUGAGAGCAGAGGUCUGUUAUUUUCUACAAGUCGGUCAUGGAAAGCUGUGAAGACAACAUAUCCAUUCGAUCUGUGUAUCACAGUGACUAGACUAGACAGAGCAUGAAAGGAAAAAGAUGGGCACCAACUUGUCAAACCUUUGGGCCUAGCUUUUAUGUCAUCUUUUCCAGAAAGUUUUUACAACCCCUUUUAGGGCUCCAGGAUACCUUAUCCUGGCACUAAUCACACGAGGGACCUGCCAGUCCCACCACUGAGCUCCUAAGGCUGACUUUACUACUUAGUCUUUGUGAUCCUUGCACCGACAUAGCAGAGCCUUUCCUCGCCAGCAUAACCUGCCUCCCUUAUUUCUUUGGACAGCCUUCAAGGCCAAUAACAUAUUAGAGACUUGGAGGAAAUGCCGCAUUAAAGUUUGUAUCUGCUUU